This is a non-coding RNA of Caenorhabditis elegans, 53 nucleotides long. The record is from Ensembl. Lineage: Eukaryota; Metazoa; Nematoda; Chromadorea; Rhabditida; Rhabditidae.
AGAGAUUGGGUCUGCUAGACUACAAACUACAAUUUCCGAUUUAGCAGACCCAU